Molecule: long non-coding RNA, 670 nt
Organism: Rhea pennata
Lineage: Eukaryota; Metazoa; Chordata; Aves; Rheiformes; Rheidae
Exons: 2
Source: RefSeq, a predicted model, not a curated record
UGAGGAAGCAUUGCAACACGCUACACGCCCAGGACGCCGAGCCCCGAUGAUGCAGCCCCUCCAGCGUGCCCACCUGCUCCUCCUGCUUGCUCUGCUCACCCUCUGCUUGCCCCUCAGCUGGGCGGAUGCUGUGACUACGAAGCCUGCGACCAGCACUCGCGGCCAACCCGUCAGCCUGGCUGCCCCGUGCUGUGGCCCAGCCUUUGUCUCCCUUGCGCUGGGCCUGGUUGCAGCUUUCCUGCUCCGGAUGUGCUGAGCCUCAGGGCUGACGGCACCCAAGAGCCCUGGCCUCCUGGUCCACCCCAUGGAGAGAUCCUCAGGACUGUGGCCCUGGACCCUCCCUGGACACUCACAGCAAGGACCAGCUAGCAUGACGCCACCGCUCCAUCCUGCAAGUCCCUCUCCCCAGCCAGCUGCCUACUCCGUGCUCACUCUCCCAGCCCCACACAGGCCCUCCAGCCCAUCGUGCCAUGCUCCAGCUCCUCUCACCCCAGCACGCUGGCCAAAGGCAGCAGCCCCGGCGGCACAGACUGACGCCACAGCGACACUUUGCAAUGCAAUGGCGAAGCUGCUCCGGCUCAGCACGCUCCGGCUGGGAGCAGGGCAGCCCACCCUGGCUCCGGAGCGGGCGUGCUGCCGAGGCUUUGAGAAAUAAAACAUUGGCAAAGUG